This 240-nucleotide ribosomal RNA is filed under the name uncultured bacterium. Its description in RNAcentral is "partial 16S ribosomal RNA". It matches the Rfam family "Bacterial small subunit ribosomal RNA", at positions 523 to 762 of the family's 1533-position model. The record is from RNAcentral.
AUACGGAGGGUGCGAGCGUUGUCCGGAAUCACUGGGCGUAAAGGGCGCGUAGGCGGUCUGCUAAGCGUGUGGUGAAAGCUCGGGGCUCAACCCCGAGUCGGCCAUGCGAACUGGUGGACUAGAGCACUGUAGAGGCAGGUGGAAUUCCGGGUGUAGCGGUGGAAUGCGUAGAGAUCCGGAAGAACACCGGUGGCGAAGGCGGCCUGCUGGGCAGUAGCUGACGCUGAGGCGCGAAAGCGU